RNAcentral lists this ribosomal RNA (397 nucleotides) under uncultured bacterium. Its description in RNAcentral is "partial 16S ribosomal RNA". It matches the Rfam family "Bacterial small subunit ribosomal RNA", at positions 523 to 918 of the family's 1533-position model. The record is from RNAcentral.
AUACGUGGGGGGCGAGCGUUGUCCGGAAUGAUUGGGCGUAAUGGGCGCGUAGGCGGCCCGGUAAGUCUGGAGUGAAAGUCCUGUUUUUAAGAUGGGAAUUGCUUUGGAUACUGUCGGGCUUGAGUGCAGGAGAGGUAAGUGGAAUUCCCAGUGUAGCGGUGAAAUGCGUAGAGAUUGGGAGGAACACCAGUGGCGAAGGCGACUUACUGGACUGUAACUGACGCUGAGGCGCGAAAGUGUGGGGAGCAAACAGGAUUAGAUACCCUGGUAGUCCACACUGUAAACGAUGAAUGCUAGGUGUAGGGGGUAUCGACCCCUUCUGUGCCGCAGUCAACACAAUAAGCAUUCCGCCUGGGGAGUACGGCCGCAAGGUUGAAACUCAAAGGAAUUGGCGGGG